This 429-nucleotide ribosomal RNA is filed under the name Acidobacteriota bacterium. Its description in RNAcentral is "Acidobacteria bacterium partial 16S ribosomal RNA". It matches the Rfam family "Bacterial small subunit ribosomal RNA", at positions 355 to 776 of the family's 1533-position model. Lineage: Bacteria; Pseudomonadati; Acidobacteriota. The record is from RNAcentral.
UGGGGAAUUUUGGACAAUGGGGGAAACCCUGAUCCAGCCAUCCCGCGUGUGCGAUGAAGGCCUUCGGGUUGUAAAGCACUUUUUGCAGGAAAGAAACGUCAUGGGUUAAUACCCCGUGAAACUGACGGUACCUGCAGAAUAAGCACCGGCUAACUACGUGCCAGCAGCCGCGGUAAUACGUAGGGUGCAAGCGUUAAUCGGAAUUACUGGGCGUAAAGCGUGCGCAGGCGGUUCGGAAAGAAAGAUGUGAAAUCCCAGAGCUCAACUUUGGAACUGCAUUUUUAACGGCCGGGCUAGAGGGUGUCAGAGGGAGGUGGAAUUCCGCGUGUAGCAGUGAAAUGCGUAGAUAUGCGGAGGAACACCGAUGGCGAAGGCAGCCUCCUGGGAUAACACUGACGCUCAUGCACGAAAGCGUGGGGAGCAAACAGG